GCGUUCUGUAAGCCUGCGAAGGUGGCCUGUGAGGGUUGCUGGAGGUAUCAGAAGUGCGAAUGCUGACAUAAGUAACGAUAAAGCGGGUGAAAAGCCCGCUCGCCGGAAGACCAAGGGUUCCUGUCCAACGUUAAUCGGGGCAGGGUGAGUCGACCCCUAAGGCGAGGCCGAAAGGCGUAGUCGAUGGGAAACAGGUUAAUAUUCCUGUACUUGGUGUUACUGCGAAGGGGGGACGGAGAAGGCUAUGUUAGCCGGGCGACGGUUGUCCCGGUUUAAGCAUGUAGGCGGAGGUUC
RNAcentral lists this ribosomal RNA (294 nucleotides) under Klebsiella variicola. RNAcentral's name for it is "partial 23S ribosomal RNA". It matches the Rfam family "Bacterial large subunit ribosomal RNA", at positions 1236 to 1533 of the family's 2925-position model. The record is from RNAcentral. Lineage: Bacteria; Pseudomonadati; Pseudomonadota; Gammaproteobacteria; Enterobacterales; Enterobacteriaceae.